UGGGGAAUAUUGGACAAUGGGGGCAACCCUGAUCCAGCCAUGCCGCGUGUGUGAAGAAGGCCUUUUGGUUGUAAAGCACUUUAAGCAGUGAAGAAGACUCCAUGGUUAAUACCUAUGGACGAUGACAUUAGCUGCAGAAUAAGCACCGGCUAACUCUGUGCCAGCAGCCGCGGUAAUACAGAGGGUGCAAGCGUUAAUCGGAAUUACUGGGCGUAAAGCGAGCGUAGGGGGCUUGAUAAGUCAGAUGUGAAAGCCCCGGGCUUAACCUGGGAACGGCAUCUGAUACUGUUAGGCUAGAGUAGGUGAGAGGAAGGUAGAAUUCCAGGUGUAGCGGUGAAAUGCGUAGAGAUCUGGAGGAAUACCGAUGGCGAAGGCAGCCUUCUGGCAUCAUACUGACACUGAGGUUCGAAAGCGUGGGUAGCAAACA
This 427-nucleotide ribosomal RNA is filed under the name uncultured bacterium. RNAcentral's name for it is "partial 16S ribosomal RNA". It matches the Rfam family "Bacterial small subunit ribosomal RNA", at positions 355 to 774 of the family's 1533-position model. The record is from RNAcentral.